RNAcentral lists this ribosomal RNA (293 nucleotides) under uncultured bacterium. RNAcentral's name for it is "partial 16S ribosomal RNA". It matches the Rfam family "Archaeal small subunit ribosomal RNA", at positions 455 to 747 of the family's 1478-position model. The record is from RNAcentral.
GUGCCAGCCGCCGCGGUAAUACCGGCAGCCCGAGUGAUGGCCGAUCUUAUUGGGCCUAAAGCGUCCGUAGCUGGCUGCGCAAGUCCGUCGGGAAAUCCACUCGCCCAACGAGUGGGCGUCCGGCGGAAACUGUGCGGCUUGGGACCGGAAGAUCCGAGGGGUAUGUCCGGGGUAGGAGUGAAAUCCCGUAAUCCUGCACGGACCACCGAUGGCGAAAGCACUUCGAGAAAACGGAUCCGACAGUGAGGGACGAAAGCCAGGGUCUCCAACCGGAUUAGAUACCCGUGUAGUCC